GGGUUGUGAGGUUAAGCGACUAAGCGUACACGGUGGAUGCCCUGGCAGUCAGAGGCGAUGAAGGGCGUGCUAAUCUGCGAUAAGCGCCGGUAAGGUGAUAUGAACCGUUAUAACCGGCGAUACCCGAAUGGGGAAACCCAGUGUGAUUCGUCACACUAUCAUUAACUGAAUCCAUAGGUUAAUGAGGCGAACCGGGGGAACUGAAACAUCUAAGUACCCCGAGGAAAAGAAAUCAACCGAGAUUCCCCCAGUAGCGGCGAGCGAACGGGGAGGAGCCCAGAGCCUGAAUCAGCAUGUGUGUUAGUGGAAGCGUCUGGAAAGGCGCGCGAUACAGGGUGACAGCCCCGUACACAAAAGCGCAUGUGCUGUGAGCUCGAUGAGUAGGGCGGGACACGUGGUAUCCUGUCUGAAUAUGGGGGGACCAUCCUCCAAGGCUAAAUACUCCUGACUGACCGAUAGUGAACCAGUACCGUGAGGGAAAGGCGAAAAGAACCCCGGCGAGGGGAGUGAAAAAGAACCUGAAACCGUGUACGUACAAGCAGUGGGAGCACCCUUCGGGGUGUGACUGCGUACCUUUUGUAUAAUGGGUCAGCGACUUAUAUUCUGUAGCAAGGUUAACCGAAUAGGGGAGCCGGAGGGAAACCGAGUCUUAAUUGGGCGUUAAGUUGCAGGGUAUAGACCCGAAACCCGGUGAUCUAGCCAUGGGCAGGUUGAAGGUUGGGUAACACUAACUGGAGGACCGAACCGACUAAUGUUGAAAAAUUAGCGGAUGACCUGUGGCUGGGGGUGAAAGGCCAAUCAAACCGGGAGAUAGCUGGUUCUCCCCGAAAGCUAUUUAGGUAGCGCCUCGUGAAUUCAUCUCCGGGGGUAGAGCACUGUUUCGGCUAGGGGGCCAUCCCGGCUUACCAACCCGAUGCAAACUGCGAAUACCGGAGAAUGUUAUCACGGGAGACACACGGCGGGUGCUAACGUCCGUCGUGAAGAGGGAAACAACCCAGACCGCCAGCUAAGGUCCCAAAGUCAUGGUUAAGUGGGAAACGAUGUGGGAAGGCCCAGACAGCCAGGAUGUUGGCUUAGAAGCAGCCAUCAUUUAAAGAAAGCGUAAUAGCUCACUGGUCGAGUCGGCCUGCGCGGAAGAUGUAACGGGGCUAAACCAUGCACCGAAGCUGCGGCAGCGAACGUAUCACCCAAGACAACUUUGCGGAGUUGACGAUUGACGGAGCGAAGCGACGUCAAAGCGUUCAUUAAAGUCGAGUUGGCUUAGGGAUACGUUCGUUGGGUAGGGGAGCGUUCUGUAAGCCUGUGAAGGUGGCCUGUGAGGGUUGCUGGAGGUAUCAGAAGUGCGAAUGCUGACAUAAGUAACGAUAAAGCGGGUGAAAAGCCCGCUCGCCGGAAGACCAAGGGUUCCUGUCCAACGUUAAUCGGGGCAGGGUGAGUCGACCCCUAAGGCGAGGCCGAAAGGCGUAGUCGAUGGGAAACGGGUUAAUAUUCCCGUACUUGGUGUUACUGCGAAGGGGGGACGGAGAAGGCUAUGUUGGCCGGGCGACGGUUGUCCCGGUUUAAGCGUGUAGGUGUGUGUUCCAGGUAAAUCCGGUUCACUUUAACACUGAGGCGUGACGACGAGGCACUACGGUGCUGAAGCAACAAAUGCCCUGCUUCCAGGAAAAGCCUCUAAGCAUCAGGUAACAUCAAAUCGUACCCCAAACCGACACAGGUGGUCAGGUAGAGAAUACCAAGGCGCUUGAGAGAACUCGGGUGAAGGAACUAGGCAAAAUGGUGCCGUAA
RNAcentral lists this ribosomal RNA (1785 nucleotides) under Salmonella enterica subsp. enterica serovar Indiana. Its description in RNAcentral is "partial 23S ribosomal RNA". It matches the Rfam family "Bacterial large subunit ribosomal RNA", at positions 1 to 1733 of the family's 2925-position model. The record is from RNAcentral. Lineage: Bacteria; Pseudomonadati; Pseudomonadota; Gammaproteobacteria; Enterobacterales; Enterobacteriaceae.